Non-coding RNA from Zootoca vivipara (common lizard), 609 nucleotides. Lineage: Eukaryota; Metazoa; Chordata; Lepidosauria; Squamata; Lacertidae. The record is from RefSeq and is a predicted model, not a curated record.
UCUUCCAUGCCUGGGUGUUGUGUGUGCAGAACUCUCCAGCAGCUUUCUCAGGGCUAACUGUGCCCGCUUUUCAGAGUCGCACCUGUCGCUCUGCCAGGGGCCUUCCCCACCACCAUGCAACCCUUGGGAAGUUGCCCCCAAAGGAAUGUGGGGCCUCCCACCCAAGCUGGGAGGUAAAAAAAAAAGCUUCCAUUGCCUGGACGCGAACCCAUGUCCCCCCCCCCUUCAUGCUUCCAGCCUCUUCCUUUUGCUCAUCUGCAAACAUCUGCAGUCUGAAUCAUAAAUUAACCUGACUAAAACACAGUUAACAGAUUUGCGGCGACCCCCAUAUUCUGAUCUUGACGGAUUAGAGAGGAGAGGAAGGAUCCGAGGGGUGCUUUUCUCAGCCCUUUGCUCAAUGGGACAACUCUGAGAAAAAGCCUGCAGAGCUGCACAUUCUGAGUCGGACAUCCCAGAAUUGCAGAAGCCAUCCCAACUUCUGAUUCCAUUCCGGAACGUCCCAGGAUUUCAGCCAAGCGGGAAGAAGAGCGUGGAACCAAAAGACAUCUGGGUGGCCACAUCUCUGCCGGUCUUCGCGGGGAUGAACAGAGGCGUUGCCGGCCUGUCCAG